RNAcentral lists this long non-coding RNA (684 nucleotides) under Lynx pardinus (Iberian lynx). Lineage: Eukaryota; Metazoa; Chordata; Mammalia; Carnivora; Felidae. The record is from RNAcentral.
CUGGCGUGUUAGUCUGGGGGCUCCUCCAGACGUCCGGGCGUUCCGGGCGCGGGUCAGGCGGAAGUGUGGCCAGAGUCGUGCCUAGGGCUGACCGGCCGCCGCCGACUGUGGACGGGAGGCGUCACUGGGUUGCAGGGAUGAACGGGGCGGGGAUCGGGCCGGCUAGCGGCGGCGCGCCCCCGGGUGAGCGGGGCUGCCGCUGGAAGCCCCAGCUGCCCGCUCGCUCCGGGCCCGCGGGCGUGGUGGCCGAGCAGCCGGUCCUCGGCUGGAACCUGCAGGGCUCCCGGGAACUGGUCCCGAGGCGUGGCGGAUAGGCUCCUUUCCGGUGCUUGGGAGGAUGGACUCCUGAAGUAGGGAGGCGGCCAGCCGCCUGCCGGUCGACCGCCGUCUGUGCUUCCUAAUUCGCCCUUCCCGGCUGAUCUCUCCACCCAGGCACACACCAGCGGGCAGAGCGUCCCCCGUGGGAACCGAGACUUCCCCCUGGAGCGCAGGGACCGCCCUGAGCCUGGUGCCCGACCCCAAGACCGUGGUGACCUGACCUUCACUGCCCACCUGCUCGGACCCACGACCUGUGUCCCACACUUUCUUUAUAUGAACCUGGACGUGCUUUGGAGCACGUCUUUGAGACCCUAGUCUGCGGUCUCCGGGUGGUGGUCUCACCGAAAUAAAUUCCUUUCCCGUUUC